RNAcentral lists this ribosomal RNA (495 nucleotides) under Triticum aestivum (bread wheat). Its description in RNAcentral is "partial small subunit ribosomal RNA". The record is from RNAcentral. Lineage: Eukaryota; Viridiplantae; Streptophyta; Magnoliopsida; Poales; Poaceae.
AUGAUCCCGACCGUUUGGAAGAUUUGGGCUCCUCCUAAAUGUAAGUUCUUCGCAUGGCUGGCAAUCAACAAUAGGAUUUGGACGGCGGAUAGGCUUCAACGUCGUGGGUGGCCAAACUGUAAUCUUUGUCCACUAUGCAAACAAGUCCAGGAGUCGGCGGCCCACCUACUAUUCCAAUGCCGAUACACUAUUAGAGUUUGGCGCAUGGUCAAAGAUUGGCUUGGUCUCCAGGAUGUGCAUCCUUCUAAUUGGAGUGACGCGACUUCCGUCAAAGAGUGAUGGAGCCACAAUGCUAACAGGAAGACCCAAUCGCGAAAGCCACUUGCUUCCUUGAUGCUUCUCAUCUGUUGGGAAUUGUGAAAAGAGAGAAAUGCACGGAUCUUCCGUAACGAGGCCGUUCCAGUGGGUGUCAUUGUCACUAGGAUUAAGGAGGAAACCUCGCUUUGGAGUAUUGCGGGGGCGAAGCACUUGAGUAAUGUAAUGCCGCGAGAGUGA